Molecule: long non-coding RNA, 263 nt
Organism: Acipenser ruthenus (sterlet)
Lineage: Eukaryota; Metazoa; Chordata; Actinopteri; Acipenseriformes; Acipenseridae
Exons: 3
Source: RefSeq, a predicted model, not a curated record
GGCGGUUUGACGGUUGGGUUUGCUUUGGAGUUAAUGAUGUCGUGCUGUCUUAGAGUUGGGCUCGGUGAGGACAGAAUGUCAAGGGAGUGUGAUGAUGAUGAUGAAGUCUUUUGUUGGGAAGUAUUUUUUUGCAUCAGUGUGAUUGACAAUAAGGGGGUGCUUGUGUCCCUCUCUCAAGACUGGCUGCACAGUGUGGAUACAGCUUAACUGUUGUCGUCUUGGGGAAAUGCCAAGUUUCUUGCUUCUGAGCUGCUUUGCUCAAA